UAUUGCCUGUUGCCUGGCAUUGUGCAAGAGGCUUUAGAGAAAGAAUUAUGCAGGAUUCACACUGCGUCCGAUGUCCGACGUACGACGUCCGACGUCUUUGCACUAAGGUGCAUUAGUUUAGCAUCAGUGCAGCUAUAGAGAACAGAUCAUAUAUAACAGAGAAGUCAAUAUAAUAGUGAAAGAGUUGUAUUUUUGGUAGCAAAAUAGAUAUGUUGACACUGUUGUGAAAGAAAAAAAAAUUAUUGAAGUUAUUAUUGAUAAUAUGUAUACAUCAAAAUGUUAAACUAAAUAAAAAAUAUAAAAGAACAUGGGUUAGAAAAUCUAUUCUUGCACGAGAAACCAGAGAUGAAGGAUCAACUUUAGUACAAGAAAUACGUCUUGGAGACUUAAUUUGAUAUUACAAUUAUAUAAGAAUGAUUCCUGAACAUUUUGAUGUACUGCUUAACUUAGUUAAGCCUUAAUACGAAAGCAAGAAACAUAUUUUAGGCAACCAAUUUCACCAAAUAUUUGCUUGCUAAUAACAUUACGCUAUUUAGCAUCUCUUGCUAUGUCAUUUCGUUUUGGUAAAAAUACUUUAUCUGGCAUAAUAAGAAAUACAUGUGAAGCUAUUUGGAAAGUACUAAAAGAUUGUAUUUUAUUCCAACCAUCAGUACAUAAUUGGAAAAGAAUAGCAGAUGAUUUCUUUAGACAGUGGAACUUCCCACAUUGUAUUGGAGCUAUUGAUGGAAAACAUGUUGUGAUACAAGCUCCAGGACAUGCAUUUCUAAUGGUAGAUAUUGGUGCACAAGGUCGACAUAAUGAUAGUGGGAUCUUUAAAGGAUCUAUUAUGAACUAACGGUUUGAAAAUAAAGAAAUUUACCACCGUCAAGUCCAUUAUCAAAUUUUAGUAAUAGAUCUGUUCAUGCAUCUGUUCAUCCAUAUAUGCUUGUGGGAGAUGCUGCAUUCCAACUCAAUGAAUACACAUUAAGACCAUAUCUGGCAAAUCAAUUAGAUAUAGGAAAAAGAAAGUUUAACUAUAGACUAAGCCGAGCACGACGUGUUGUAGAAAACGCGUUUGGUAUUAUGAAUAGUAAAUGGAGAAUUUACAGAAAACCAAUAAUUGUGUCACUUGAAACAGUAGAAAGCAUUGUUAAAGCAACUGUUUGCAUAACUUUUUGCUACCAAUGACACAUAACACAAAUAUAUUGAAUAAUAUGUGUGGAAUUAUUGAAAAUGAAGGUGCCAUAAGAAGUGUCAAUCGUAUGGGAAGCAAUACAUAUUUGCGAUCAGCAGCAAAUAUUAGAGACAAAUUUUGUCGUUACUUUACAAA
Long non-coding RNA from Harpegnathos saltator (Jerdon's jumping ant), 1309 nucleotides. RefSeq lists it as uncharacterized. The transcript is spliced from 3 exons. The record is from RefSeq and is a predicted model, not a curated record. NCBI's taxonomy places the organism in Eukaryota, Metazoa, Arthropoda, Insecta, Hymenoptera, Formicidae.